GAUGAACGCUAGCGGGAGGCCUAACACAUGCAAGCCGAGCGGUAGAGUUUCUUCGGAAACUUGAGAGCGGCGCACGGGUGCGUAACACGUGUGCAACCUACCUUUAUCUGGGGGAUAGCCUUUCGAAAGGAAGAUUAAUACCCCAUAAUAUAAUGAUUGGCAUCAAUUAUUAUUGAAAACUCCGGUGGAUAGAGAUGGGCACGCGCAAGAUUAGAUAGUUGGUGAGGUACGGCUCACCAAGUCAAUGAUCUUUAGGGGUCCUGAGAGGGAGAUCCCCCACACUGGUACUGAGACACGGACCAGACUCCUACGGGAGGCAGCAGUGAGGAAUAUUGGACAAUGGGUGAGAGCCUGAUCCAGCCAUCCCGCGUGAAGGAUGACGGUCCUAUGGAUUGUAAACUUCUUUUGUACAGGGAUAAACCUACCCUCGUGAGGGUAGCUGAAGGUACUAUACGAAUAAGCACCGGCUAACUCCGUG
This 478-nucleotide ribosomal RNA is filed under the name uncultured bacterium. RNAcentral describes it as "partial 16S ribosomal RNA". It matches the Rfam family "Bacterial small subunit ribosomal RNA", at positions 28 to 507 of the family's 1533-position model. The record is from RNAcentral.